AAAUUGAAGAGUUUGAUCAUGGCUCAGAUUGAACGCUGGCGGCAGGCCUAACACAUGCAAGUCGAGCGGUAGCACAGAGAGCUUGCUCUCGGGUGACGAGCGGCGGACGGGUGAGUAAUGUCUGGGAAACUGCCUGAUGGAGGGGAUAACUACUGGAAACGGUAGCUAAUACCGCAUAAUGUCGCAAGACCAAAGUGGGGGACCUUCGGGCCUCAUGCCAUCAGAUGUGCCCAGAUGGGAUUAGCUAGUAGGUGGGGUAACGGCUCACCUAGGCGACGAUCCCUAGCUGGUCUGAGAGGAUGACCAGCCACACUGGAACUGAGACACGGUCCAGACUCCUACGGGAGGCAGCAGUGGGGAAUAUUGCACAAUGGGCGCAAGCCUGAUGCAGCCAUGCCGCGUGUGUGAAGAAGGCCUUCGGGUUGUAAAGCACUUUCAGCGGGGAGGAAGGCGUUAAGGUUAAUAACCUUGGCGAUUGACGUUACCCGCAGAAGAAGCACCGGCUAACUCCGUGCCAGCAGCCGCGGUAAUACGGAGGGUGCAAGCGUUAAUCGGAAUUACUGGGCGUAAAGCGCACGCAGGCGGUCUGUCAAGUCGGAUGUGAAAUCCCCGGGCUCAACCUGGGAACUGCAUUCGAAACUGGCAGGCUAGAGUCUUGUAGAGGGGGGUAGAAUUCCAGGUGUAGCGGUGAAAUGCGUAGAGAUCUGGAGGAAUACCGGUGGCGAAGGCGGCCCCUGGACAAAGACUGACGCUCAGGUGCGAAAGCGUGGGGAGCAAACAGGAUUAGAUACCCUGGUAGUCCACGCCGUAAACGAUGUCGAUUUGGAGGUUGUGCCCUUGAGGCGUGGCUUCCGGAGCUAACGCGUUAAAUCGACCGCCUGGGGAGUACGGCCGCAAGGUUAAAACUCAAAUGAAUUGACGGGGCCCGCACAAGCGGUGGAGCAUGUGGUUUAAUUCGAUGCAACGCGAAGAACCUUACCUGGUCUUGACAUCCACAGAACUUUCCAGAGAUGGAUUGGUGCCUUCGGGAACUGUGAGACAGGUGCUGCAUGGCUGUCGUCAGCUCGUGUUGUGAAAUGUUGGGUUAAGUCCCGCAACGAGCGCAACCCUUAUCCUUUGUUGCCAGCGGUCCGGCCGGGAACUCAAAGGAGACUGCCAGUGAUAAACUGGAGGAAGGUGGGGAUGACGUCAAGUCAUCAUGGCCCUUACGACCAGGGCUACACACGUGCUACAAUGGCAUAUACAAAGAGAAGCGACCUCGCGAGAGCAAGCGGACCUCAUAAAGUAUGUCGUAGUCCGGAUUGGAGUCUGCAACUCGACUCCAUGAAGUCGGAAUCGCUAGUAAUCGUAGAUCAGAAUGCUACGGUGAAUACGUUCCCGGGCCUUGUACACACCGCCCGUCACACCAUGGGAGUGGGUUGCAAAAGAAGUAGGUAGCUUAACCUUCGGGAGGGCGCUUACCACUUUGUGAUUCAUGACUGGGGUGAAGUCGUAACAAGGUAACCGUAGGGGAACCUGCGGUUGGAUCACCUCCUUACCUUAAAGAA
This 1547-nucleotide ribosomal RNA is filed under the name Klebsiella pneumoniae. RNAcentral describes it as "bacterial SSU rRNA". It matches the Rfam family "Bacterial small subunit ribosomal RNA". The record is from RNAcentral. Lineage: Bacteria; Pseudomonadati; Pseudomonadota; Gammaproteobacteria; Enterobacterales; Enterobacteriaceae.